AAGCACGUACCACACCACACCACACGUCACGCUACCACCCGAUCCAAUUCAUGAGGAUGUCGAUGGAUCACACACACGCGCAGAGGUCAAUAAUUUUCAGCACGAGACAGCUCCAUGUGCAGAUAUAUAUUAAUUAUUACUCAUGGACCAUCUCCCAUUUACAUUUCCUGAUUGCUUAAUCGUGCAGCUGCAUGAUUCGCUUGUUGUGAGCGCACCCGUUACCGGACAAACCUGCACACGUUGCGCCCCUCGAAAGAAAAAACUUCGCUAUUUCUGUCUUCUGGUAAAAGGCCUUAUCCAGUUAGCCCACAAAUCCCCUUUCCUCGUCUUAAACGGUGGUGGCGAAGAAGCACACCGGCGUUGAUGCCCAAAAGGUCGACCGGGAGGUGGCACCGGAGGGGCUUGGCGAGAAGGUCGGCCGGGGAACCGAAGCAAUUGUGCACCGUCUCCUCCUCGCCCUUUCUCGGAGCUGGAGCUAUGCCACCGGCGGCGGCAGUAGUGUUAAGGAUGCCUAUUUCGUCGUCGUCGUCGAGGUACAUGCAUGCUCCUCUUGCGAGCGCGAUUUGCUUCCCCUGCUGUCACCGCCAGCUGCUCUCCCCCACCGUCUGAUCCCAUGGGCACGCCCUGGUCUAGACGUGUCGACGACGAUGCUGCAUCGGCCGUGUCGCCGGAAUCCACGCAGCGCCGUGGAGAGACCCGAGAACUGCAGCUUCCGCUUCGCCGCCGCCAACCAGCUCCCCUAACGUGUACGACCCUAUCCCCCUCUCUAUCUCGUCAGCUAGUUGGCUAGAUAGAUUACUAUGACCCAAGCUUGCAAUUGGAGCUCUGACGAAACAAUCCAUGUCCUCGGUUUAGCUGACCAAAAAUCUUAGAAGACUUGAGAUGCUUCUGUAGUUGCAACUGUGUUCUAAAUACAAGUUUUACCACUUCAUUUGGACAAGUGCAGUCUAAUUGAGCUACUUGGUCAUACUAACUGGAACAAAUGAUGCAUAUGUAUUGUAGGAGAACCUGCAUGUUGUUGUGUGUGCAUCCAAAGCCGUCGUGCGGCUACAACAGGGUAACGCAAAGAUUCGGUUCCUUCAUCACAUAGCUUGGGCCUCAAGUUGUGCCACACUUCUUUGUUUUUUGAAUGCAGCCCCAAGCACGCUGCUAGCUAGUUGUAUCUAAGCAUUUUGCGCCAAACAUAUGUGCCCUGGUCUUUCACUUCAGAAUAGUCGGUAUGUUGUCGAGUGGAGUUGCCUAGUAACAUUUUUUAUGUAAGUGUUUUCUGUGAUAGGAGUUUGGAUAGUUGUAUGGGGCGAUUAGUUAUUUCGUGCGGAACGAAGACAUCACCAUCAUCAUCCUGCUUGUGAAAGGGGUUAGUAGGGAUAGAGCAACUGUGCAAAGACAAUGGAACAACUUUGAAGUAGAAUAGAGCAACUCCAGGCCACAAAUCACAAAGCAUCAUAAAUAAAACACGGUGGGAUUUUGGAAGAACUACCACGCAACAAAAGUGUUGGAUUCAGAAGGCGACUUUCCACUCUAAGAAUAGAGUAGUUACUUGGAUUUUUUUUAAAGAGUUGAAUUUGGUGUGUGUGUGUGUACUGCAGUUGCUUUGUUUUGUUGGGGCAGUUGCUCGGAUUCGUUUUUGAACAUUUUGUUGCAUUUCUACCUUUUGUAAUGUAGUUGCUUGGUUUUUCUUGGACAGUUGCUUCCUUUUUACUAGAACACUUUUGCAUUUUGUGUUUUUUAAUUGAGUUGCUUGGAUUUUUGCUAGGCCAGAUGAGAAGUUGCAUGGGGAGGGGGGUCAGAUAGUUUUCCACAAAGGGAGCAGGUUGUGGGACAACGGUCCCUGUGCAACUAUCAGAAUAGCACGCUGGCGGUGAGCGUCUCCAAGGCAAGGGAGAAGAGGACGUUGCAGCUCAAGGGGGGGGGGGGUCUCACUACGUGAAGAAUUAUUGAAGAACGAUGAGGGCCGGAGACAUUGUUUCUCUUUUCCAUAGAGAAGCUAUUAAAAUAGGGAAGAAGAAGAAGAAGGUAGGGAAUAUGCUUGAUAUGGCUGAAGAGCAAACCAGAGAACUUGUGUGUAUGCGGUUGUGAUUUAAGAGCAAACUCAUGAACCAACAGUGUCUAUGUCGAAUGUGACCAUAGAGCAAAAGCAUAGGCCAGAAACAUAGUCUUUUUAAACUUCUCAAGGUAUGUACUAUGGUCCAUGUAGUAUUUACUAUGUAGGCUUCUUUAUAAAAAGCUAAGAUUUAAUUGAGAA
Long non-coding RNA from Triticum aestivum (bread wheat), 2245 nucleotides. RefSeq lists it as uncharacterized. The transcript has 3 exons. The record is from RefSeq and is a predicted model, not a curated record. NCBI's taxonomy places the organism in Eukaryota, Viridiplantae, Streptophyta, Magnoliopsida, Poales, Poaceae.